This 1328-nucleotide long non-coding RNA is filed under the name Brachypodium distachyon (stiff brome). RNAcentral's name for it is "long non-coding RNA (BDIS_LNC000842)". Lineage: Eukaryota; Viridiplantae; Streptophyta; Magnoliopsida; Poales; Poaceae. The record is from RNAcentral.
CUGGUUCUGUAUCACACACUAGCAAAAUUUCCUUCUGAGGCACAGAUGUUUCAAUGCUUUGAUCAACUUCACUGGCAUGCUCCACAGAAUCUGGCUCUAUGGCAACUGGUUCAAUAAUAUUUUCGUCUUGAGUAGGUGCUUCUACUUCAGUAACCAAGGCUACAGUAGUUUCCUCUUGGGGAGGUAGAGAUGUUUCUUUACUUGGAUCGACUUCUGUACCAGCAUGCUGCAUAGACUCUGGCGCUAUGACAACAGAUUCAGCAUUUUCCUUUUGAGCAGGCGCAUCUACCACUUUCUCUGCUUCUGGUUCUGUAGCGACAGUAGUUUCCUCCUGGGGAGCCGCAAGUGUUUCUGUGCCAUCAUGCUCCAGAGGAUCAGGAAUUACUGAAAUAGCAACAGGACUUUGAUGAUGAACUAUGGAAGCACAUAAAGUACCCAUUCCAAGUUCUGGACUACUUGCACCCUCCAAACCCGUUUGCUCCACAGUACAUGCUUGGACAGGAUAUGGUUCGGCAGGAACAAGAACAGACGCAACAACAGCAGUGGCUUCCGUCAUUUCCAUGGUGACAAAGUUGGAUGGAGCUGUGCCACUAUUUUCGUCUUGAGUAGGUGCAUCUACUUCAGUAACCAAGACUACAGUAGUUUCCUCUUGGGGAGGUAUAGAUGUUUCUUUACUUAGAUCAACUUCUGUGCCAGCAUGCUGCAUAGACUCUGGCGCUAUGACAACAGAUUCAGCAUUUUCCUUUUGAGCAGGUUCUGGUUCUGUAGCGACAGUAAUUUCCUCCUGAGGAGCCGCAAGUGUUUCUGUGCCAUCAUGCUCCACAGGGUCAGGAAUUGCUGAAAUAGCAACAGGACUUUGAUGAUGAACUAUGGAAGCAGAUAAAGUACCCAUUCCAAGUUCUGGACUACUUGCACCCUCCAAACCCGUUUGCUCCACAGUACAUGCUUGGACAGGAUAUGGUUCGGCAGGAACAAGAACAGACGCAACAACAGCAGUGGCUUCCGUCAUUUCCAUGGUGACAAAGUUGGAUGGAGCUGUGCCACUAUUUUCGUCUUGUGUAGGUGCAUCUACUUCAGUAACCAAGACUACAGUAGUUUCCUCUUGGGGAGGUAUAGAUGUUUCUUUACUUAGGUCAACUUCUGUACCAGCAUGCUGCAUAGACUCUGGCGCUAUGACAACAGAUUCAGCAUUUUCCUUUUGAGCAGGUUCUUCUGGUUCUGUAGCGACAGUAAUUUCCUCCUGAGGAGCCGCAAGGGUUUCUGUGCCAUCAUGCUCCACAGGGUCAGGAAUUACUGAAACUUCUUGCACUUCAGUGGCGGUAACCUUA